Long non-coding RNA from Mercenaria mercenaria, 4481 nucleotides. RefSeq lists it as uncharacterized. The transcript has 4 exons. The record is from RefSeq and is a predicted model, not a curated record. Lineage: Eukaryota; Metazoa; Mollusca; Bivalvia; Venerida; Veneridae.
CAGUGAAUACAUGGAUUUACAGCCUGUUAAAGAAUACAUGAAUGAUACACCAGAAUAUGACCUACUGCAAAGUAAUCAAUAUGGUACAGCUCAGCUGCGAAGUGAUGGCGACAAUGCGAUGGUUUCAAAGCAGAUUCCUAACAAUCACUCAGAACACACGUACCACAAUACAGUUGAAGAACAGCAACACGUUGAUGAUACAAAAGUUUAUGAAAACCUGAAGUUAUAAAAACGAAAUAGACACUCCAGCAGAUAUGUUAUUUUUAGAUAAAAGGCAUUCAAUAUUAUGUCUUUAUGUGUUUAACUGAGCAACAAACAUUUGAAUACUUAAUGCCUUAAAACAAUAUUCUUCUGUUGUGCUGUACAUUAAAACCAUUCGCGUAUGAAACUAUCGUUUUAAAAGUACAAAUAAGGUAAUCUUCUAACAUGACCGACUCGGUUAGAUUGAGCCUUUUCAUAGACGGCAGCAUAAAACUAUCGAAGAAUAUUGUUUAUUACAUGUAUUUUAUAGAAUAUAAAUUUAACUUUAUAUAGUAUAAUUUCUCACAUUAUCAAUAUACGACAGUGCUUUACCCAACUUAAGCUUUAAUAGAAUUUUAUACAGAUUUUAAAAAUAGUUUAAAUGUGAGUCUAUGUUAAUGUAGCGUGCUUUGAAGAAUGAAGUAGUUAAUCUGGUACUUAUACUCACUUCACUGACGAUGCUAGCAUUGGGAAUUGUAGUUUGUAGAUUGUUUGCUUAGUGUAUUUAUAUUGUAUUUUAAUACUGUACUAGACUUUUGUUCGCAAUACGAUUCUCGAAAUAUUUCUGUAUUGAGGUUUAUGGGAUUGAACUAGGUCACUAAAGUAAACGAUAGAGAUGUCAGAAUGUUGCCUUUAUAAAGUUAAGUUCGUUCAGCUUUCUAGGUUCACAUGAAGAUCCUUAUAUUAAAUUAGAACAAACGACCUUGUUAAUAAUAUAGAUGCCAAGUUUUCUACUUGAUCCUUAUGAAACUUGGUCCUUAUUAGAUCUAGAUCAAAGCUGACAAUUUUAAAAUUAUCUAGGUAUAAAAGCGAUUUUACAAAGUCAAAUUAUUGAAAAGAUUUUACUUUAUGUAAACCGUUUUGUCUAACUUGUUCAAAACAUGGUAAGUGUAGGAUUGGCUUGACCCCAAUGCCUUUAAACCCCAAGUUUUCUUCGUGUAGGUUACUGACCGUACCAAGACAGUGCUCCUAUUUUCAACCUGCUUUGUGUCCGUUUCGUAUAAAAUUUUAUACAUGUAUUAUGUUAUGUAUAUUUCCUUUUAAGUUGGUUGGGUUACUUCUCUUAUUUCUCACCCCGUCCCCGCCCUCUUUUACAUCCCAAUUUCCUUUUUACUAUGAGUGAGGUUAUGAACCCCGUAUUUACUGGACGGAGCUGAUGAUUUUGCCAUCGCCCGUCCCUAAUCGGUGUCUCACUGUGUCCCCUUCACCUUUUUUGUUCGUUUUUAGCCAGGUUUUUAAGAACAACUGGUUAUUAGAUUGCCGAAUGUCGUCCGGGUUUCUGCUCAUAAACUUGGGUUAGGAGUGACCGAUUACAAUAAAACUUGGUAUAUAGAUAGCUUGCAUAGAGACAGAGUGUGAGAUUUCAUAUGAGGUUACUAGGUUUAAGGUCAAGGUCACUGUUGCUAAAAUAGUAAAAUAGUAUCCGCUCAGGUGUGAAAAUGCAAAACCUUAACUGCUUUUUAGCUUAGGUAAAUCGAAAUUAAAUGACCUUUAUUACUACAUUGAAUAUUGAUGUAACGCAGAGUCGAUACUUAUAUGUUUGAAGUAGUGUUGCUUCUUUAGAGCGACUAAACUACACAUUGUGGUGUGAGAUUUUAUAAAAUCAAACGUUUCCUAGAUUCACCUUUAUGUUGCAUAUUUGAUGUUCUAACAAUUUAUUUUUCAUCGAUUUCUGUUGAAAAUUGUUGAAUUCUUAAUAAGGUAAAAAUAGAAACAUUCAUCUACUGUUUCUGAUAAGGGUUUCGCGGUUUAUAAAAAACGGAAUUCCGUUCAGCGAGAUUCAAACAUCACGUGACAGUGAGAACAUGAUAAUCAAUAGAGAGCAGAAGUAUAGGUUUCGCGUAGUAUUGUUGCGUUUUGAAAAAAAUAACUUAAAAAUGAAUUUAAGUCAGUACACUACGUUUAUGAUGCAGUUAGCGAUUCCUCGUUGGCCAAGCGGAAACGGUAUUUGCAGUAUACUUUUUCGUUGGGAGUUCGAUUUCCAAACCCGUAAAAAGGUUGUUUUUAAAACUGUAUAUAAUUUCUUAUUUUCAAUACGAUUCAACGAAAGCAAAACAAGUUAGUUAAUUUAGUUCUAACUUAUAUUUGUCAAUAUUGACACGUAGUUAUGUUUAAAUACACUGCGCUUUUAAUAUGAUUCUAUGUUUUUCAAGGUAUCCUGUGAUAUUUUUAAGCUGUACGUGUUAGUUUUAUACAUUUUAUAUCAACCUUGUGAAGAUCCUACCGAUUUCAUACGAAAAGAAGAAAUAAAGCAAUGAAUUAGAAACCAGAGAAGAACAAACAUACACAAAGUAUGUAAUGCCAAAAAGAAAAAUGUUGGUCGAAUGCAAGGUUCGAUCCGUCAAAACUGUAUCACUACAAAAUGAGUAUGUAUCCAUCCACUCAACCUACUUUUCCAUCAAGCCAAUUGUUGAUUUCCAUCGUAUAUCUUUAUUUUAUGUAUAUGUAUUGCUUAAAUUAAAAACGACAUAAUACUGUGAGCUACCUAUAGAUACGUGUGCGCUCUAUUAAUAGUGACGGAAACAAAACAUACGUAUGCGCAAUUUUGAUUUGCUGCCCACGUGCUUAAAAUGACUUAAAUUAUUGUCGCGUCUCGUUCUAUAUUUAUAUCAAUGUUUACAAAAUAAAACGUUGCAACGGUUUAUAAAAUUGAAUGAGAAAAUCUGCGAAAACUCUAAUGCUGGGAAGUAGAAACUAAUCAACCAUUAAGUUUCAUAUAAAUAUAUGAAACAGUGGCGGCAUUUUUCCUUUCGAUCAUUAUUUUAAAAAUCACAAUCACAAUAUGUGGGUUAGUCGUUUUAACCCUUAGCUUGCUUAAUUUCUAAAAUGGACUGGUCAGUCUUUCAAUUUAGGCAUACCAUUUAUCAUUCAUAUGGGUUUACAGACUGAAUAGCAAACAGUGCAGACCAAUGAGAUGUGCAGGCUGAUCUUGGUCUGCACUGGUCGCAAAGACAAAAUCACUUGCCACCAGCUGGCUAAAGGUUAAUAAAUGUUUUGUAUAGUAUAGAUGGUAACAUGUUGACCAUGAAAAGAAUUUGCCAGUCGCCACGGAAUAAUUGAGGUUAGAAAUCGUAUUUUAAAUCAGUGACUGUAUAAAUCUUUGUAUGAUUUAUAAUCAUUAAAAUGGUAAUCAAAACCCUUCCUUGUUGAACAAAAAAUGGUAGUACCACAUAUCACCGAUUUUAAGCCUUAAAAUCUGAAUAAAAGCAAUAUGAUUAUAUUUGUAAUGUUGAAACGCUAUUAACUGCAGUUUCUAACGCUCAUAUUUCUUAUUUGAGUGAUUCUUCUAUAGUUUGCUUACCACAAGGUGAGAUUUCUACAUUAAAUUACGAUGGAACGCUGCUGAUAAUAAAGCAUAAAUAAGACAGUGAUGAAUGAUCAAUGUCAAGCGGUACAAGGAUAACUGACAACUCACUAUGAUCAGAAAUGUAGGUACGAACUGCUCGCUAUAUAAACAGUGCAAAUAUAACACAUUAUAUAAUAAUUUGUCUGAGACCAGAUAUACGAAACGUGGUGAGAAUGCUUGAAUCUAUAAAAUUUAAAUCAAGAUUAAACUAGGUCAACCGGGGUUAGAAAGGAGGAGUUAAAUCAUUAACACAAAAUUUUUAAUGGCCGUAUUUUCUGUCAGUCUACAUGAAACCUAGGACAGAGAUUUGACUAAAUACUAGAUUUUGGCAAAAGAUGCUUUCUUUAAAAUUGAAGUUUGCUCAUAUUAUGAACAUUAGAGUAUGAGCUUUUGUUUAAUAUAUAUACCUUUUUAAAAUGCUAAAUCAAGAAAAGAACAUGUCCGAGUCGGGAAUCAACCCGGUUUGCUAAGGCAAUAAAAACGUUUCUUCAUUUACCAAUGCACCAUAGAGGAAUUUGUACUCAAAGAGCUGGGGUGUAAGUCAAAUAUUAGAAGAAAUAUCAGCAUGUUGUUAGAUUAGUUUCAGAACUGACUGGAGGUAGGUCACUAGAUCAAAUGAUAGAAAGAAAUGUUAAUACUUCCCAUUGUCAUUGUCAAGUUUUUGCAUUAAUGGGAUCAAAUCUAUGUUAGACAAACGACAUAACCCAUAACUAUGGCCAUCUUGGUCAGCAAAGAAGACUUUGACAUCCAGCAAGGUGAAUCCUAACAUUUUGAGCUUUCUUUUUUCUAUCUGUUGUGAAAAAUGUAUAGAUAAUAUAUGUGAAUGUAUAUCUAAAUGUUGUUCUAAUUUCUCUUAUUGUGGUACUUACUAAAUAAAAAUAGAAAUAAUCGUUUA